This 447-nucleotide ribosomal RNA is filed under the name uncultured bacterium. RNAcentral describes it as "partial 16S ribosomal RNA". It matches the Rfam family "Bacterial small subunit ribosomal RNA", at positions 29 to 523 of the family's 1533-position model. The record is from RNAcentral.
AAUGAACGCUGGCGGCAGGCCUAACACAUGCAAGUCGAACGCCCCGCCAGGGGAGUGGCGCACGGGUGAGUAACGUGUGGGCAUAUGCCCUUCGGUUCGGAAUAACACAGGGAAACUUGUGCUAAUCCCGGAUAAGAUCUACGGAUGAAAGAUUCAUCGCCGAAGGAGUAGCCCGCGUGGGAUUAGCUUGUUGGUGAGGUAACGGCGCACCAAGGCGACGAUCAUUAGCUGGUCUGAGAGGAUGAUCAGCCACACUGGGACUGAGCCACGGCGCAGACUCCAACGGUAGGCAGCAGUGGGGAAUAUUGGACAAUGGGCGAAAGCCUAAUCCAGCCAUGCCGCGUGAGUGAUGAAGGCCUUAGGGUUGUAAAGCUCUUUCGCCAGGGAAGAUAAUGACGGUACCUGGAAAAGAAGCCUCGGCUAACUCCGUGCCAGCCGCCGCAGUAA